AGAGUUUGAUCCUGGCUCAGGACGAACGCUGGCGGCGCGCCUAACACAUGCAAGUCGAACGAGCGAGAGAGAGCUUGCUUUCUCGAGCGAGUGGCGAACGGGUGAGUAACGCGUGAGGAACCUGCCUCAAAGAGGGGGACAACAGUUGGAAACGACUGCUAAUACCGCAUAAGCCCACGGCUCGGCAUCGAGCAGAGGGAAAAGGAGCAAUCCGCUUUGAGAUGGCCUCGCGUCCGAUUAGCUAGUUGGUGAGGUAACGGCCCACCAAGGCGACGAUCGGUAGCCGGACUGAGAGGUUGAACGGCCACAUUGGGACUGAGACACGGCCCAGACUCCUACGGGAGGCAGCAGUGGGGAAUAUUGCACAAUGGGGGAAACCCUGAUGCAGCGACGCCGCGUGGAGGAAGAAGGUCUUCGGAUUGUAAACUCCUGUUGUUGAGGAAGAUAAUGACGGUACUCAACAAGGAAGUGACGGCUAACUACGUGCCAGCAGCCGCGGUAAAACGUAGGUCACAAGCGUUGUCCGGAAUUACUGGGUGUAAAGGGAGCGCAGGCGGGAAGGCAAGUUGGAAGUGAAAUCCAUGGGCUCAACCCAUGAACUGCUUUCAAAACUGUUUUUCUUGAGUAGUGCAGAGGUAGGCGGAAUUCCCGGUGUAGCGGUGGAAUGCGUAGAUAUCGGGAGGAACACCAGUGGCGAAGGCGGCCUACUGGGCACCAACUGACGCUGAGGCUCGAAAGUGUGGGUAGCAAACAGGAUUAGAUACCCCGGUAGU
RNAcentral lists this ribosomal RNA (773 nucleotides) under uncultured bacterium. RNAcentral describes it as "bacterial SSU rRNA". It matches the Rfam family "Bacterial small subunit ribosomal RNA", at positions 8 to 794 of the family's 1533-position model. The record is from RNAcentral.